Molecule: unclassified non-coding RNA, 510 nt
Filed under: Centaurea behen
Lineage: Eukaryota; Viridiplantae; Streptophyta; Magnoliopsida; Asterales; Asteraceae
Also listed under: 2 other names
Description: partial miscellaneous RNA
Source: RNAcentral
UAGCUGCUAUCGAGCUCCAGCUACAAAUGGAUAAGACUUUGGUCUGAUUGUAUAGGAGUUUUUGAACUAAAAAAGGAGCAAUAGCUUCCCUCUUGUUUUAUCAAGAGGGCGUUAUUGCUCCUUUUUUUAUUUAGUAGUAUUUACCUUACACAGUUUCUUUAAAAAUAAGAAGGGGCUUUUCUAGUUUGGUUCGAUUAGCGUGUUUUAUCUUUGUAUUAAUUUCUAUUAUAGGUUUAUAUAUCCUUUUCCCAAUCGUUUAUGAUUAAUUUCUAUUAUAGGUUUAUAUAUCCUUUUCCCAAUCGUUUAUGAAGUUUUAUUUCCAAUUCAAUUUCAAUCUAAAAUAGAUAAAAAUUAUAAUUUUUAUUAUUUAUUGCUUUUAUUUUAGAAAUAAGAAAGAAAUAAUAUGCUCUUUUUUUAUGUUAAUGGAAAAAUAAAAUAUAGUAACAGUAGAUAAUACUAGAUAAUAGGGGCGGAUGUAGCCAAGUGGAUCAAGGCAGUGGAUUUGUGAAU